This 248-nucleotide unclassified non-coding RNA is filed under the name Bartalinia robillardoides. RNAcentral describes it as "partial contains small subunit ribosomal RNA, internal transcribed spacer 1, and 5.8S ribosomal RNA". The stretch from base 1 to 46 matches the Rfam family "Eukaryotic small subunit ribosomal RNA", at positions 1786 to 1831 of the family's 1831-position model. RNAcentral also lists the same sequence under 2 other names. The record is from RNAcentral. Lineage: Eukaryota; Fungi; Ascomycota; Sordariomycetes; Amphisphaeriales; Sporocadaceae.
AAGUCGUAACAAGGUCUCCGUUGGUGAACCAGCGGAGGGAUCAUUACAGAGUUAUCUAACUCCCAAACCCAUGUGAACUUACCUUUGUUGCCUCGGCAGUAGUUGCUGGGCGAGCCUACCCGGGAAAUCCUGGGACGACUUACCCUGUAACGCCUGCCGGUGGACUACUAAACUCUUGUUAUUUUUAAGUAAUCUGAGCGUCUUAUUUUAAUAAGUCAAAACUUUCAACAACGGAUCUCUUGGUUCUG